CCUGCAUCUCGAAUAUGACUCCGAAUAUGGAAUGAUGUCAAAUCCAAUAUCAUAUUCAUAUUUCUCUUGAUCUUUAAUGAUAAUUUGAUUAAUAAAAUAUAAAAAAAUUCUUUUUAAUUUUUAUUCUACUUUGAUCAAAGACUUCCUAAAUCAUCAAUCGAUCAGCGCAAGUAGGAUGCGAUCUCUUCUUACCAGGAAUGAUCAAUUUGAUGUUGACCUACUCACAACCUUUAUACAC
Molecule: long non-coding RNA, 238 nt
Filed under: Elaeis guineensis (African oil palm)
Lineage: Eukaryota; Viridiplantae; Streptophyta; Magnoliopsida; Arecales; Arecaceae
Description: long non-coding RNA (EGUI_LNC015456)
Source: RNAcentral